CGAGUGAACAGGGAUUAGCCCAGCAUCGAAGCCUGCGGUCGUUUGACUGCAAGGCAAUGUGAUGUUACAAAUUGUGCCUGUGGCUGCAGAUUAACUCGAAGUCCAAUAUUGAUUAUGGCUACAUAUAGAUGGCCCAGAGCGGGUGAAAGGCCCGUGCGAGUUGAUCGUUAGAUAUGAUUGCAGCCUCAGAUGCAUGGUUUGUGGAGUCGGAUUGCUUGUGAAUGCAGUCCAAAGUUGGUGGUAAACUCCAUCAAAGGCUAAAUACUGGCGCGAGUCCGAUAGCAAACAAGUACCGUGAGGGAAAGUUGAAAAGUACUCUGAAGAGAGAGUAAAUAGUACGUGAAACCAUAUGGAGGUAAACGGGUGGAGUCCAGCCGCGUGUUCAUUGGAUUUUGCUAGUAUGCUAUGCGAGAGCGUAACUGUUCUUGUGAUUAGCCACUGAGGGCUAUUCAAACGAUGUUUUGAAUAAUGUUGCUGAUUAAGCGGCAUGAAUCAUGAGUUGAAAUAGUUGGCAUGCUAGUGACCUUCCUGUGGGCUGACAUCACAAUCAAUGUCACUGCUUGCAUUUCUCGAUCAAACCGACAAGUGGCGAGCCUUCGGGUUUGUUCUUGUUGGGAUGGCAGGUGGCUUGUACGUUGCUUCGGUAGCGUGCGGGUUUAAACAUGGCUAUGGCCAGCCGAUCGAGACGUGUAUGUAUAUUUAUGCAGUGUAUUGGUCACCGAAUGAGUAUGCGCAGUUAACCAUGUGUGUCUGUUUGCGGGUUCGUGUUGAGUUUGACCUAAUGGUUGGCUUGAUGCUUGAGUCUGUACGUGGCAUAUACGGCUAAAUUGUGUUUCGCGUGA
RNAcentral lists this ribosomal RNA (842 nucleotides) under Haplocotyle japonica. RNAcentral describes it as "eukaryotic LSU rRNA". It matches the Rfam family "Eukaryotic large subunit ribosomal RNA", at positions 90 to 632 of the family's 3401-position model. Lineage: Eukaryota; Metazoa; Platyhelminthes; Monogenea; Monocotylidea; Microbothriidae. The record is from RNAcentral.